AAACUUGAGAGUUUGAUCAUGGCUCNNNNNNNNNNCUGGCGGCACGCUUAACACAUGCAAGUCGAACGAAGUAGCAAUACUUAGUGGCAGACGGGUGAGUAUAAUGUGGGAAUCUGCCUUUUGGUUUAGAAUAACUCGGGGAAACUUGAGCUAAUACUAGAUAAGCCCUCACGGGGAAAGCUUUAUGCGCCAAGAGAUGAGCCCGCACUUGAUUAGCUUGUUGGUGAGGUAAAAGCUCACCAAGGCAACGAUCAAUAGCUGUUCUUAGAGGAAGACCAGCCACAUUGGGACUGAGACACGGCC
This 303-nucleotide ribosomal RNA is filed under the name Nitrospinaceae bacterium. Its description in RNAcentral is "partial 16S ribosomal RNA". It matches the Rfam family "Bacterial small subunit ribosomal RNA", at positions 1 to 331 of the family's 1533-position model. Lineage: Bacteria; Pseudomonadati; Nitrospinota; Nitrospinia; Nitrospinales; Nitrospinaceae. The record is from RNAcentral.